GGUUGGAUCAUUAAAAAUCGGCCUUUGGCCACCAUUUGCUCAGUGUUGUGAAGCUUGGCUUUUGCCAGUCAACACUGGGUGAACCACCACUUGUGAACUGUAAUUGUUUUUUUGGGGUAGAAGGCAUAGUCUCCUUUUGCCCCAACCAAUUUGUUUGUUAAUACUGCAAACUUUGCCCCGAGAGACCGUCAUUAGUCUCUUGGUUUGAUAUAGGUAAUACCUGCAUGGUAAAUUAAUCUGAAGCGUCUGAAUCUGAAUGACCUUUUGGUCUAUCAGCACCUGAAGAUGAGUAUCACUGCUGCGCUUGGUAACUUAUUGAAGACUGAGACGUUGUAUACAACUUAAUUCUAGUGGUGGGAUCGAAGGACAGAGUGGACCGGUUGAUUCAAGCAUAAACCAAUUUGUUUGUUAAUACUGCAAGCCAAUGGGGGUUUUAUGACUGGUGAUUAGAUGGGAAUGAUGGGGAGUCGAGAAUGUUGGAUUAAUUGGGAUGACUGAAGAUGUGCAGUUUGCCAUCCUCAUGACCUGUUAAAUAGCCCUGACGUACUCGCGAACCUGAAUGAAAGUCUAGGAUGCUGGAAGUUUAACCUUCACUGGUGAUCGCAAAACAGCAUUUUCAAACAGAUGUAUAACAACCUUAUAAUUUGACUGAUUUUAUAAUUUAAUUUAUAACAACUUUUGACAACGGAUCUCUUGGCUCUCGCAACGAUGAAGAACGCAGCGAAAUGCGAUACGUAAUGUGAAUUGCAGAAUUCCGUGAAUCAUCGAAUCUUUGAACGCAUAUUGCACCCCUUUCACGAGGGGUAUGCCUGUUUGAGAAUCUAUAGUAAUCAUUUCUGAUCCUUUUCAGAAGAAUUGGGACUUCGCCGUGUUCGGAAUGCGUGUUCUUAAAUACAUAAACCGUUGUAUCGGGGAGAUGUUUGAAUCUUUGCUUAAAUGGUAGAACAGUGUUUGAAUGAAACCGUGGUUUCUUAUAAUGCCAAAUAUACCUUUGCAGAGUUAGUCUCGUCGGUUCAAUGGUGGUUGAAGAAGUUGUGUGUUAUGCACGGCUUGAACAAUGGUCUCAAAUCAGGCAGGAAGACCCGCUGAACUUAAGCAUAUCAAUAAGCGGAGGAAAAGAAACUAACAAGGAUUCCCCUAGUAACGGCGAGUGAAGCGGGAACAGCUCAAAUUUGAAAUCUCGCGGUUUUACCGUGCGAAUUGUAGUUUAAAGAAACGUCUUCGAGGUAGACUUUGCGUACAAGUUCUUUGGAACAAGUCAUCAUAGAGGGUGAAAAUCCCGUCUUUGACGCACGGUUCUAUUUCAUGUGAUGCGUUUUCUAAGAGUCGGUUUGUUUGGGAAUGCAGACCAAAAUGGGUGGUAAAUACCAUCUAAAGCUAAAUAUUGGCGAGAGACCGAUAGCGAACAAGUACCGUGAGGGAAAGAUGAAAAGAACUUUGAAAAGAGAGUUAAAUAGUACGUGAAAUUGUCAAAAGGGAAACGCUUGAAACCAGUAUUGUGGGCAGGAAUUCAGCUUUGGCUUGCCAAGGUCCAUUUUCUUGUCUGCGAGUCAACAUCAGUUUGAUCUGGAGUAAAAAGCGGGAGGAAGGUAGCCUUCGGGUGUUAUAGCCUCCCGUCAUGCUCUGGGUUGGACUGAGGUCUGCAGCGUUCUUUGGGGAACCAAUUGCCUUUGGAAGUAGGAAUAUCGACUGCUUGCAGAUUUUAUUGCUACCAAGAAGCCCAGUCGGUGUACCACACUAGCGCUUAGGAUGUUGACGAAAUGGUUUUAAACGACCCGUCUUGAAACACGGACCAAGGAGUCUAACAUGCAUGCAAGUAUUUGGGUGUCAAACCCUUAUGCGUAAUGAAAGUGAAAAGGUGGGAUCCUUUAUUGGUGCACCAUCGACCGCGCCAGAUUAUUAUUAUCUCGGCGUGAGUAUGAGCAUGUAUGCUGGGACCCGAAAGAUGGUGAACUAUACCUGAAUAGGGUGAAGCCAGAGGAAACUCUGGUGGAGGCUCGUAGCGGUUCUGACGUGCAAAUCGAUCGUCGAAUUUGGGUAUAGGGGCGAAAGACUAAUCGAACCAUCUAGUAGCUGGUUCCCUC
Molecule: unclassified non-coding RNA, 2084 nt
Filed under: uncultured fungus
Lineage: Eukaryota; Fungi
Description: sequence contains 18S rRNA gene, ITS1, 5.8S rRNA gene, ITS2, 28S rRNA gene
Rfam family: Eukaryotic large subunit ribosomal RNA (bases 1059-2084)
Source: RNAcentral